GACGAACGCUGGCGGCGUGCUUAACACAUGCAAGUCGAACGGAAAGGCCCUGCUUGCAGGGUACUCGAGUGGCGAACGGGUGAGUAACACGUGGGUGAUCUGCCCUGCACUUCGGGAUAAGCCUGGGAAACUGGGUCUAAUACCGGAGAGGAGCCAUUUUGAGUGUGAUGGUUGGAAAGUUUUUUCGGUGGAGGAUGAGCUCGCGGCCUAUCAGCUUGUUGGUGGGGUAAUGGCCUCCCAAGGCGGCGGCGGGUAGCCGGCCCGAGAGGGUGGACGGCCACCUUGGGACUGAGAUAAGGCCCAGACUCCUACGGGAGGCAGCCGGGGGGAAUAUUGCAACAUGGGCGCAAGCCUGAUGCAGCGACGCCGCGUGGGGGAUGACGGCCUUCGGGUUGUAAACUCCUUUCGCUAGGGACGAAGCUUUUUGUGACGGUACCUAGAUAAGAAGCACCGGCUAACUACGUG
RNAcentral lists this ribosomal RNA (465 nucleotides) under uncultured bacterium. RNAcentral's name for it is "partial 16S ribosomal RNA". It matches the Rfam family "Bacterial small subunit ribosomal RNA", at positions 28 to 507 of the family's 1533-position model. The record is from RNAcentral.